GACAGAGGGUGCAAACGUUGUUCGGAAUCACUGGGCGUAAAGCGCGUGUAGGCGGCCAGAUAAGUCGGGUGUGAAAUCCCACGGCUCAACCGUGGAAGUGCAUUCGAAACUGCUUGGCUCGAGUCUCGGAGAGGAAGGUGGAAUGCUUGGUGUAGAGGUGAAAUUCGUAGAUAUCAAGCGGAACACCGGUGGCGAAGGCGGCCUUCUGGACGAUGACUGACGCUGAGACGCGAAAGCGUGGGGAGCAAACAGG
RNAcentral lists this ribosomal RNA (253 nucleotides) under uncultured bacterium. RNAcentral describes it as "partial 16S ribosomal RNA". It matches the Rfam family "Bacterial small subunit ribosomal RNA", at positions 524 to 776 of the family's 1533-position model. The record is from RNAcentral.